CAACCAAGAAAUACUAGAAAAUAAAACGAAAACAACCAGGCAAUAAAUUUUAUCAGAAAAAAUAAAAUUUUGCCGGAGCAAUAAUUUUGUUGAUUGAAUUUAACAUUAACGGGGAAGAGAGGGAGAUAUGGCGUGACUUCAAAGACAUUGUCGAGCAGCACCUAAAACACAAAAAUCGAUCAGAUCUGAGCACUUUAGACGAGUAUGAUGGCUCUAUUACUAGAGGAAAGAGAAAAAGGAGAGCGGCAUCAUGGUCAACCAUGACUGUUCCGAAGCUAACCAUUGUCGCCGAAGCUCGAAGCAGAUAAUUGGAGAGAAUCAAAGACAUGGAUUUUACCCAAAUAAUUACAACAAAAAAAAUUAAACCUAAAAGAAGAUUCACAAC
This 385-nucleotide long non-coding RNA is filed under the name Solanum tuberosum (potato). RNAcentral's name for it is "long non-coding RNA (STUB_LNC004212)". The record is from RNAcentral. Lineage: Eukaryota; Viridiplantae; Streptophyta; Magnoliopsida; Solanales; Solanaceae.